This 443-nucleotide ribosomal RNA is filed under the name uncultured bacterium. Its description in RNAcentral is "partial 16S ribosomal RNA". It matches the Rfam family "Bacterial small subunit ribosomal RNA", at positions 338 to 795 of the family's 1533-position model. The record is from RNAcentral.
CCUACGAGGAGCAGCAGUGGGGAAUAUUGGGCAAUGGGCGCAAGCCUGACCCAGCAACGCCGCGUGACGGCAGAAGGCUUUCGGGUUGUAAACUUCUUUUCUCAGGGACGAAGCAAGUGACGGUACCUGAGGAAUAAGCCACGGCUCACUACGUGCCAGCAGCCGCGGUAAUACGUAGGUGGCAAGCGUUAUCCGGCUUUACUGGGUGUAAAGGGCGUGUAGGCGGGACUGCAAGUCAGAUGUGAAAACCACGGGCUCAACCUGUGGCCUGCAUUUGAAACUGUAGUUCGUGAGUACUGGAGAGGCAGACGGAAUUCCUAGUGUAGCGGUGAAAUGCGUAGAUAUUAGGAGGAACACCAGUGGCGAAGGCGGUCUGCUGGACAGCAACUGACGCUGAGGCGCGAAAGCGUGGGGAGCAAACAGGAUUAGAUACCCCUGUAGUC